RNAcentral lists this ribosomal RNA (257 nucleotides) under uncultured bacterium. RNAcentral describes it as "partial 16S ribosomal RNA". It matches the Rfam family "Bacterial small subunit ribosomal RNA", at positions 524 to 777 of the family's 1533-position model. The record is from RNAcentral.
UACGUAGGGCGCAAGCGUGUCCGGAAUUAUUGGGCGUAAAGAGCUCGUAGGCGGUUUGUUGCGUCGGCUGUGAAAUCCCGAGGCUCAACCUCGGGGUCUGCAGUCGAUACGAGCAAACUAGAGUGUUGCAGGGGAGACUGGAAUUCCUGGUGUAGCGGUGAAAAUGCGUAGAGAUCGGGGAGGAAUACCUGUGGCGAAGGCGGCCUACUGGGCCGGACCUGACGCUGAGACGCGAAGGCGUGGGGGAGCGAACGGGG